This is a long non-coding RNA of Hyaena hyaena (striped hyena), 1410 nucleotides long. RefSeq lists it as uncharacterized. The record is from RefSeq and is a predicted model, not a curated record. Lineage: Eukaryota; Metazoa; Chordata; Mammalia; Carnivora; Hyaenidae. The transcript is spliced from 2 exons.
UCCCGCCCCUGGGAGCCGCACGCCUAGUACCCGUGCAGCCGGGACCCGCUGGGCUACUUGGCGAGGUCACGAGCACCCAGAGGCAUCCUUGCUGCCGGUCCCUACGGUCCCUCUAAGGUCUCCUUCCAGGUUGCUGGCCUAGCGUGGCUUAGGACAGGGCAAGCUGAUGGCGUCUGCCAACCCCUGGGCGAAGGGUGCUUACCGCUAGCUUUCGCUGGGACGUCGGCGGCUCCGACCGGAAGAAAGCGUGGCCCACUGAGGAAAUCCAGGAUGCUCUCCGCUUGACAACCUUCACUUCAUCGCAGGUUCCAGGGAUCAAACACAUGCACGUCUUAGAGGGCUACUACUCAGUCCACAGCACCAGCCACCAGCCAGAGUGACCUUCCUAGAAUGUAAGCCUGAACAGACUCUGCCCUCCCUAACAUCUCCCAGGACGCCUUCAACUCAGGAGACACCCAAGGUUUUCGCCUGACACGCUACCAGUCUUGGCUCUCACCAUUUUUGCCAUCGUCUCCCACCUAAGGGUCUUCAAAAAUGCUCUCCAAGGGAAGGCACUCCUGCUGCACACGCUGCUCCCCAGCUCCAUCAGAGGCACUGCGCAGGCCCUCCGGACUGCGUACCUGUGUGUGCGGUGUGUUUGUGUGCGUGGGCCCGUGUGCAUGUGGGUGGGGGACUCGGGGCCCCAAGCCCCCUGUGCAGCUAGCCCCUGUCAUGCCUUGAGCACUGUGUCACAGCUGACUGUCCCCCACCCAAGGCUGAAGCCCAGAGCACACAGAACACCAGCCUAAAAGGGCAUACCACGCACGCCCCCCCCACACUCACAUACAAUCAUGCCCACGAAUCAGGCACCUCCCGGGCAGCCCCCUUAUGCGCAAGGCUGCACUGUGCAUACACCCGCACACACCCAAAUCAUAUCACUCUGCCCUCUGGCCCCAGGCCCAAUGCCUGCCGGUCACCUCCUCAUCCCCACCCCCACCCCCGUGUUUGUCAGUUAAACAGCACGGCUUGAACUCCUCCUUUCCCCUGGGCCUUUUGUGGCGUGAAGAGUCUCCGCUCAGCAAGUAAUAGGUGCCUGUGAAUGUGAGUCAAGGGAAUGACUCAAUGAACACAUUAAUUUUUAAAACCCUGGGUCACGGGGCACCCUCCUGGCAGGCAGCCUGGACACAGUGGUUGACAAAUGAAUAAUUCACUAGCCACCAGUUGGAGCCAGCAAACCUCCAGGCGGCGAUUCCUCUCCCACCAUCAAGCCACACCCACUUUGCCGGCCCUCCCUUCCAUGUCACCUGUCACCACUCCCAAACGUGGCUUCCCACCCCCUCACCACCCACCCAUCCCCUGACCUUGCCCCGGGGAUUAUCUGCAGACCCUGUACAGAGAAGGUGGCCAAUAAAGGUAAGGUGUACAAUCGUA